UGCGUAGGUGGCCUGACAAGUCAGGGGUCAAAGGCAACGGCGUCAACCGUUGUAAGCCCUUGAAACUGUCGGGCUUGAGUUCAGGAGAGGAAAGCGGAAUUCCUAGUGUAGCGGUGAAAUGCGUAGAUAUUAGGAGGAACACCAGUGGCGAAGGCGGCUUUCUGGACUGAUACUGACACUGAGGCACGAAAGCGUGGGGAGCAAACA
Molecule: ribosomal RNA, 207 nt
Filed under: uncultured bacterium
Lineage: Bacteria
Description: partial 16S ribosomal RNA
Rfam family: Bacterial small subunit ribosomal RNA
Source: RNAcentral